CGUAGGGGGCGAGCGUUUAUCCGGAUUCAUUGGGCGUAAAGCGCUCGUAGGCGGCCUGCUAGGUCGGGAGUCAAAUGCGGGGGCCCAACCCCCGGCCGCUCCCGAUACCGGCGGGCUUGAGUUUGGUAGGGGAAGGCGGAAUUCCCGGUGUAGCGGUGGAAUGCGCAGAUAUCGGGAAGAACACCGGUGGCGAAGGCGGCCUUCUGGGCCACAACUGACGCUGAGGAGCGAAAGCUGGGGGAGCGA
RNAcentral lists this ribosomal RNA (246 nucleotides) under uncultured bacterium. Its description in RNAcentral is "partial 16S ribosomal RNA". It matches the Rfam family "Bacterial small subunit ribosomal RNA", at positions 526 to 771 of the family's 1533-position model. The record is from RNAcentral.